Xenia sp. Carnegie-2017 is the source of this 1207-nucleotide RNA transcript. RefSeq lists it as uncharacterized. The transcript is spliced from 6 exons. The record is from RefSeq and is a predicted model, not a curated record. Lineage: Eukaryota; Metazoa; Cnidaria; Anthozoa; Malacalcyonacea; Xeniidae.
CAAGACAAAUGUGGUGCCUUGGAAAAUUCCUUCCUUUAGCUCUCGGCAGUGCCAUUCCUCAGGAUGAAGAAAAGUGGAUGCAUUUUCUGUUGCUCCUUAAAAUUGUUGACAUUGUUUUUUCACCAAUCACAAACACUGAUGAACUUGCUAUCCUGGAAGGAUACCUGAAGGAAUUUUGUGGAAAUUCACCCAGCUUUAUCCUGGGCUUUCAGUUAUACCCAAGAUGCAUUACUUGGUUCAUUACCCAGCUCAUAUUUACAGAUUUGGACCAAUGAUUCGGAGCUGGUGCAUGCGAUAUGAAGCAAAGCACAGUUACUUUAAAAGAUUGGCUUCAUACCUUGGAAACUUCACUAAUGUUGCACUUAGCCUUGCUGAACGACAUCAAACCAGAAGUUGCUAUCUAAGAAAUCAACCCAUUGCAAAAAAGCCUAAAAUUGAUUCUGCAAAAGAAAUUGUUGCUAAGGAUAGUGAACAUUAUUAUUUGCUCAAAGAGAAGGAACCUAACUUAAGUGACAUUAGUAUUUUGUCAAGCGUCCAGCGUCUUGGAAAGCCACAAAGAUGUGAGUUGGCAGCUCUUCAUUACUGUUUGUUGUUACAAACUACGAUCCAAUGGUCUGAUUAUGGCCAAAUCGUUUUUGGUUAUACGACUUUGCUCGAAAUACAGCACGCGUGUGUAUCCAGCGACCAACUUGCUUUCUAUCAUAUUCUGCACUUCGAUUGAAGGCCUGAUGAAAGGAACCCAAAGCGAAAGAUGAAUAUGCGAAAGGCAUAUUUUAAGAUGAACUCAAACUUUCAAUGCGUUAUUUAAAUCUCUACCUUCCUACAUACACGAAGAAUAUUUGCCGAAAGCGAAAUAUAUCUUUGACUUUUCGAUAACAUGUUCAGACGUGACAUUUACUGUUAAUGCGAUCGAAAAACAUAGAACAAAUGUUGGUGGUUUUAAUUCACCAUGAUGUAGGACUUAUAUAGAUAAAGAAAUUGAUUAUUGACCACGAUGAAAACGUAUUUGGCUUUUGUUCACCAUUCCCUUGAGGCUGAGCUAUUUACGAAUUGAUAUUCUACUUCGUCUGAACUGCUUUAUAACUGAGGAGAUAUGAAGAUGAUCACGAUUCUUGUCUCGACAAUUGAUCGAAAGACAAGUCACUUUUAACCAACGAUUUAUGAUGGUAAGAUUUUUACAGCAACAAAAUAAACUCAUGAGAAAGUU